RNAcentral lists this long non-coding RNA (292 nucleotides) under Capsicum annuum. Its description in RNAcentral is "long non-coding RNA (CANN_LNC002608)". The record is from RNAcentral. Lineage: Eukaryota; Viridiplantae; Streptophyta; Magnoliopsida; Solanales; Solanaceae.
UAAGCUCCAAUGCCUUACCUGACGCCGCGGGCCUUCAUCACGAUCAUUUUCCGCCAACAUGAUACGUCGGGGCAUUCCGCGGUGAAUAAAUACAAGUGAUCUCGGGGCAUUCCCCGGCUAAAUAAAUACAUCUAAAUUAAACACGAUAAUCUAGAAAGAGACAUUCACACGCACAUUCCAACAUCCCACGAAACACUUAUUCCUAAAUUUUGCUUGCCCGACCUACGUUUGCCUACCCGCUCGACUUACCAUGAUACUAUCAUGAAAUUGAUAAUUAGACGUGAAAGUAACA